This is a long non-coding RNA of Varanus komodoensis (Komodo dragon), 1864 nucleotides long. RefSeq lists it as uncharacterized. NCBI's taxonomy places the organism in Eukaryota, Metazoa, Chordata, Lepidosauria, Squamata, Varanidae. The transcript has 3 exons. The record is from RefSeq and is a predicted model, not a curated record.
CUCUCCAAACCAUGUUUCAAGCACAUUUUUUCUUCCUGUCAGCUUUCUUCACUGUCCAGCUUUCACACCCACACACUGUGAUUGAAAAUACAAUAGUCUGAAUUAGCUUGACCCUCGUCUCCAGUAAAAUAUCCUUACAUUUAAUAUUUUCUAGGCUACCCUUCCAAAUCUGUCAUCUUCAAAUUUAUUGGAUGCAGUCUCCUUUCAGAUUGAUGACUGAGCCAGAGAAUCCAUCUUGAAUGCUGGGCACUUCUCACUCCAGAAAAGGAAUGGUUCUCCACCAGAUUACUUCUGCUAUUCAAGAUGAGCUGCACAGCUUUCCAUCAUGGGCCUGCAAGCACACCCAUGGUAAUCAAGUCUACAUGGUGGUGCAUACAUGUGCUCAUGAAACUGUUCAUGAAACAAUUCAUGAUACUACCCUGGCAUGCAUGGUGAGAAACACAGAGAUAGAGCAAUCGAGUCCUGUCCAAUGAAUACUAUGCUGCACUCCCUCUCAAGUUGCAGCUAGGUUGCAGCAAAAGAAGGGAGCAGAGUCCAAUUUGCUCAGCAGCUCCGCAGAUACGAACGUGAGCUCCUGACGGCUUUUGUGCAGGCGAAGCACCACCACAGUGCCCCAGACCCACCAUGCAGCAGUAGUGGCCUGCAGGCUGAGGAACGCGGGCAGCCAUUAAGCUCACUGGCUGUCUUUGGUCCAGGCAAAGACUCUCAGCACAGCACAGCAUACAAGGUGGUUGAGAGGAUAAAAUGAAGAGGACGAUUAUGUGCACAAUGCCUUGGGCUCCUUGGAGGAUGGGCGGGAAAUAAACUGACAAACAAGCAUUGCGCAUGUUGACUGGGUGGGGGUUUUCCAGAGGCUUUCCCAGCUAAAAGGAAUAAAGCUGAAAACUCCUGUGGGCAGAGCAUGUGCUCAGACACUGGGCUACAGUUUCUCCUCACCCAGUAACAGCAGACUUAAUAUUCAGCCUGCAAUGGCUGCUGCAGGAACAAUCAUAAAACAAUUAAACAUGUCAGUAUUGCUACUGAAGCUCUUUGCAAUAGCUAUUACCUAAGAGGAUGUUAUUCCCUGGGUAGGAUUACAUUAUAAAGCCUUAAGCAAAAUUAUAAGGAGAAUUUUCAAAUUGAGAGACAAAUGGAAUCCUUAGUUUUGGAAUGAAUCUUUGAAUCCAAUCUAACCAGACACUAUGCUCAGUUUCUGGGGCCUUCCUUUGGAUGCCAACUCCUCAGAGGGUGGCAACUAGGAGGAGGGUUUUUUUGGUGGUGAAUCCCCAUCUUUCAAAUAAUCUCCAUGCAUCCUCCAUGCCGCAGCUCUCCUGGUGCCAAAUUUGCCAUAUUUUCUGUGCAAGGUUAAGACAGCCCUCUUUGCAGAGGCCUUUAAAGACUUCCCUGGUCAUUCGGGGACCUGAUACAAUUACCUACAAAAUGCCAGCAUUCUGCCAGUAGCUGAGCUUAGUGGAAGCAUUUCAACCUUUUAGAAUGGGGGAAAACUGCACAAAAGCCAGAAAACCACCAAGCAACCACUGCCUAGGAGAAAGGGAUUGGGGCCAGGUGGAAGAAGUGUGGCCAUCUGGAAAACCUCAGGGGAUUGGAUUUGGCUUACAGACCUGAACUUCCCUGCUCUGGGGUAUAGCACAGCAUAUUUUCAAGUUGAUUCCUUAAUAAAAUUACUGAAAAGUCAUUAAUGAAAGUCCAAGGCAGAGAAGCCCACAUUUUAAACAAUUAUACAUGAUUACGGGAAGAUUCUAAACAAACUGUAAUGAAAUCCUAUCCAUUGCUGAGUGUUCGAAUCUAUUAAUCUAUUAAUUUUGUGAGCUUCUGCCUAAGUUCUUCACAGUACCACUGCAGUCUCAUCUUGCUGCUUAAUUCU